CCUACGGGUGGCAGCAGUGGGGAAUAUUGCACAAUGGGGGAAACCCUGAUGCAGCGACGCCGCGUGAGUGAAGAAGUAAUUCGUUACGUAAAGCUCUAUCAGCAGGGAAGAAACACUGACCUUACGGUCAGCAGACGGUACCUGAGUAAGAAGCCCAGGCUAACUACGUGCCAGCAGCCGCGGUAAUACGUAGGGGGCAAGCGUUAUCCGGAUUUACUGGGUGUAAAGGGGGCGUAGACGGUGCGCUAAGUCAGGCGUGAAAUGCCGCAGCUUAACUGCGGAACUGCUGUGGAAACUGGCGAACUAGAGUGCGGGAGAGGUAAGCGGAAUUCCUGGUGUAGCGGUGAAAUGCGUAGAUAUUAGGAGGAACACCGGUGGCGAAGGCAGCUUACUGGACCGUAACUGACGUUGAGGCUCGAAAGCGUGGGGAGCAAACAGGAUUAGAUACCCUUGUAGUC
This 458-nucleotide ribosomal RNA is filed under the name uncultured bacterium. RNAcentral's name for it is "partial 16S ribosomal RNA". It matches the Rfam family "Bacterial small subunit ribosomal RNA", at positions 338 to 795 of the family's 1533-position model. The record is from RNAcentral.